GGGACUAUUUUGCUAAAUGGUUGAAAUUUUAGGGUUUUACCAUGAUAGUAAACAUGUUGUUUUCUAAAAUUUUAUGGAAGAAUAUGAGUUAUGGUUGUGUAACAAACAAGUUUUGUAAAGUAGUUUUCAAGGAAACCUUAAUUAGGGACCCUUUUGCAUAAGUUGAAAAUUAGAUGAUUGAUGUGAGAAAUAAUGAAAAUUUUGGGUUGCUAUAAGAGUAAAAAGGGUUCGGUUAGGCUUAAUAUAUGAAGAAAUUUGAUAAAAAUCGAUUUUCAGACCUAGG
RNAcentral lists this long non-coding RNA (283 nucleotides) under Gossypium barbadense (sea-island cotton). RNAcentral's name for it is "long non-coding RNA (GBAR_LNC002354)". The record is from RNAcentral. Lineage: Eukaryota; Viridiplantae; Streptophyta; Magnoliopsida; Malvales; Malvaceae.